UGGGGAAUAUUGGACAAUGGGCGCAAGCCUGAUCCAGCAAUGCCGCGUGAGUGAUGAAGGCCUUAGGGUUGUAAAGCUCUUUCGGCGGGGAAGAUGAUGACGGUACCCGCAGAAGAAGCCCCGGCUAACUUCGUGCCCGCAGCCGCGGUAAUACGAAGGGGGCUAGCGUUGUUCGGAAUUACUGGGCGUAAAGGGCGCGUAGGCGGCGCAUUAAGUCAGGUGUGAAAGCCCUGGGCUCAACCCAGGAAUUGCACUUGAUACUGAUGUGCUUGAAUCCGGAAGAGGAUGACGGAAUUCCCAGUGUAGAGGUGAAAUUCAUUGAUAUUGGGAAGAACACCAGUGGCGAAGGCGGUCAUCUGGUCCGGUAUUGACGCUGAGGCGCGAAAGCCAGGGGAGCAAA
RNAcentral lists this ribosomal RNA (400 nucleotides) under uncultured bacterium. Its description in RNAcentral is "bacterial SSU rRNA". It matches the Rfam family "Bacterial small subunit ribosomal RNA", at positions 355 to 772 of the family's 1533-position model. The record is from RNAcentral.